This 2772-nucleotide ribosomal RNA is filed under the name Escherichia coli. RNAcentral's name for it is "bacterial LSU rRNA". It matches the Rfam family "Bacterial large subunit ribosomal RNA". The record is from RNAcentral. Lineage: Bacteria; Pseudomonadati; Pseudomonadota; Gammaproteobacteria; Enterobacterales; Enterobacteriaceae.
AGCGUACACGGUGGAUGCCCUGGCAGUCAGAGGCGAUGAAGGACGUGCUAAUCUGCGAUAAGCGUCGGUAAGGUGAUAUGAACCGUUAUAACCGGCGAUUUCCGAAUGGGGAAACCCAGUGUGUUUCGACACACUAUCAUUAACUGAAUCCAUAGGUUAAUGAGGCGAACCGGGGGAACUGAAACAUCUAAGUACCCCGAGGAAAAGAAAUCAACCGAGAUUCCCCCAGUAGCGGCGAGCGAACGGGGAGGAGCCCAGAGCCUGAAUCAGUGUGUGUGUUAGUGGAAGCGUCUGGAAAGGCGCGCGAUACAGGGUGACAGCCCCGUACACAAAAAUGCACAUGCUGUGAGCUCGAUGAGUAGGGCGGGACACGUGGUAUCCUGUCUGAAUAUGGGGGGACCAUCCUCCAAGGCUAAAUACUCCUGACUGACCGAUAGUGAACCAGUACCGUGAGGGAAAGGCGAAAAGAACCCCGGCGAGGGGAGUGAAAAAGAACCUGAAACCGUGUACGUACAAGCAGUGGGAGCACGCUUCGGCGUGUGACUGCGUACCUUUUGUAUAAUGGGUCAGCGACUUAUAUUCUGUAGCAAGGUUAACCGAAUAGGGGAGCCGAAGGGAAACCGAGUCUUAACUGGGCGUUAAGUUGCAGGGUAUAGACCCGAAACCCGGUGAUCUAGCCAUGGGCAGGUUGAAGGUUGGGUAACACUAACUGGAGGACCGAACCGACUAAUGUUGAAAAAUUAGCGGAUGACUUGUGGCUGGGGGUGAAAGGCCAAUCAAACCGGGAGAUAGCUGGUUCUCCCCGAAAGCUAUUUAGGUAGCGCCUCGUGAAUUCAUCUCCGGGGGUAGAGCACUGUUUCGGCAAGGGGGUCAUCCCGACUUACCAACCCGAUGCAAACUGCGAAUACCGGAGAAUGUUAUCACGGGAGACACACGGCGGGUGCUAACGUCCGUCGUGAAGAGGGAAACAACCCAGACCGCCAGCUAAGGUCCCAAAGUCAUGGUUAAGUGGGAAACGAUGUGGGAAGGCCCAGACAGCCAGGAUGUUGGCUUAGAAGCAGCCAUCAUUUAAAGAAAGCGUAAUAGCUCACUGGUCGAGUCGGCCUGCGCGGAAGAUGUAACGGGGCUAAACCAUGCACCGAAGCUGCGGCAGCGACACUGUGUGUUGUUGGGUAGGGGAGCGUUCUGUAAGCCUGUGAAGGUGUACUGUGAGGUAUGCUGGAGGUAUCAGAAGUGCGAAUGCUGACAUAAGUAACGAUAAAGCGGGUGAAAAGCCCGCUCGCCGGAAGACCAAGGGUUCCUGUCCAACGUUAAUCGGGGCAGGGUGAGUCGACCCCUAAGGCGAGGCCGAAAGGCGUAGUCGAUGGGAAACAGGUUAAUAUUCCUGUACUUGGUGUUACUGCGAAGGGGGGACGGAGAAGGCUAUGUUGGCCGGGCGACGGUUGUCCCGGUUUAAGCGUGUAGGCUGGUUUUCCAGGCAAAUCCGGAAAAUCAAGGCUGAGGCGUGAUGACGAGGCACUACGGUGCUGAAGCAACAAAUGCCCUGCUUCCAGGAAAAGCCUCUAAGCAUCAGGUAACAUCAAAUCGUACCCCAAACCGACACAGGUGGUCAGGUAGAGAAUACCAAGGCGCUUGAGAGAACUCGGGUGAAGGAACUAGGCAAAAUGGUGCCGUAACUUCGGGAGAAGGCACGCUGAUAUGUAGGUGAAGUCCCUCGCGGAUGGAGCUGAAAUCAGUCGAAGAUACCAGCUGGCUGCAACUGUUUAUUAAAAACACAGCACUGUGCAAACACGAAAGUGGACGUAUACGGUGUGACGCCUGCCCGGUGCCGGAAGGUUAAUUGAUGGGGUCAGCGCAAGCGAAGCUCUUGAUCGAAGCCCCGGUAAACGGCGGCCGUAACUAUAACGGUCCUAAGGUAGCGAAAUUCCUUGUCGGGUAAGUUCCGACCUGCACGAAUGGCGUAAUGAUGGCCAGGCUGUCUCCACCCGAGACUCAGUGAAAUUGAACUCGCUGUGAAGAUGCAGUGUACCCGCGGCAAGACGGAAAGACCCCGUGAACCUUUACUAUAGCUUGACACUGAACAUUGAGCCUUGAUGUGUAGGAUAGGUGGGAGGCUUUGAAGUGUGGACGCCAGUCUGCAUGGAGCCGACCUUGAAAUACCACCCUUUAAUGUUUGAUGUUCUAACGUUGACCCGUAAUCCGGGUUGCGGACAGUGUCUGGUGGGUAGUUUGACUGGGGCGGUCUCCUCCUAAAGAGUAACGGAGGAGCACGAAGGUUGGCUAAUCCUGGUCGGACAUCAGGAGGUUAGUGCAAUGGCAUAAGCCAGCUUGACUGCGAGCGUGACGGCGCGAGCAGGUGCGAAAGCAGGUCAUAGUGAUCCGGUGGUUCUGAAUGGAAGGGCCAUCGCUCAACGGAUAAAAGGUACUCCGGGGAUAACAGGCUGAUACCGCCCAAGAGUUCAUAUCGACGGCGGUGUUUGGCACCUCGAUGUCGGCUCAUCACAUCCUGGGGCUGAAGUAGGUCCCAAGGGUAUGGCUGUUCGCCAUUUAAAGUGGUACGCGAGCUGGGUUUAGAACGUCGUGAGACAGUUCGGUCCCUAUCUGCCGUGGGCGCUGGAGAACUGAGGGGGGCUGCUCCUAGUACGAGAGGACCGGAGUGGACGCAUCACUGGUGUUCGGGUUGUCAUGCCAAUGGCACUGCCCGGUAGCUAAAUGCGGAAGAGAUAAGUGCUGAAAGCAUCUAAGCACGAAACUUGCCCCGAGAUGAGUUCU